RNAcentral lists this ribosomal RNA (2717 nucleotides) under Drosophila melanogaster (fruit fly). RNAcentral's name for it is "eukaryotic LSU rRNA". The stretch from base 573 to 2717 matches the Rfam family "Eukaryotic large subunit ribosomal RNA", at positions 1 to 1847 of the family's 3401-position model. The record is from RNAcentral. Lineage: Eukaryota; Metazoa; Arthropoda; Insecta; Diptera; Drosophilidae.
ACUCUAAGCGGUGGAUCACUCGGCUCAUGGGUCGAUGAAGAACGCAGCAAACUGUGCGUCAUCGUGUGAACUGCAGGACACAUGAACAUCGACAUUUUGAACGCAUAUCGCAGUCCAUGCUGUUAUGUACUUUAAUUAAUUUUAUAGUGCUGCUUGGACUACAUAUGGUUGAGGGUUGUAAGACUAUGCUAAUUAAGUUGCUUAUAAAUUUUUAUAAGCAUAUGGUAUAUUAUUGGAUAAAUAUAAUAAUUUUUAUUCAUAAUAUUAAAAAAUAAAUGAAAAACAUUAUCUCACAUUUGAAUGUGAAAAACGAAGAGAAAUAUUUUCUUUUUCAAUCAAAUAAUACUGAGAAAUGUCUAGCAUAAAAAAUUGAAAUAUUUUUCAUCUAGAAUUGUCUCUUAUUAAUGAUUCGGAAAUAGAAAAAUCUUGGUUAUGUUAUUAUUCUUCGUUGGUUCGUUAAAAAUGGAUAAAUAAAAACUUUGCAUACAAGAAUUAAUAAAAAUGUUAUAACGAAUUUAAUUAAAUGUUUUAUCAUUAUAUAUAAAGAAUUUAUGGCAAGAUAAAGUUAUAUACAACCUCAACUCAUAUGGGACUACCCCCUGAAUUUAAGCAUAUUAAUUAGGGGAGGAAAAGAAACUAACAAGGAUUUUCUUAGUAGCGGCGAGCGAAAAGAAAACAGUUCAGCACUAAGUCACUUUGUCUAUAUGGCAAAUGUGAGAUGCAGUGUAUGGAGCGUCAAUAUUCUAGUAUGAGAAAUUAACGAUUUAAGUCCUUCUUAAAUGAGGCCAUUUACCCAUAGAGGGUGCCAGGCCCGUAUAACGUUAAUGAUUACUAGAUGAUGUUUCCAAAGAGUCGUGUUGCUUGAUAGUGCAGCACUAAGUGGGUGGUAAACUCCAUCUAAAACUAAAUAUAACCAUGAGACCGAUAGUAAACAAGUACCGUGAGGGAAAGUUGAAAAGAACUCUGAAUAGAGAGUUAAACAGUACGUGAAACUGCUUAGAGGUUAAGCCCGAUGAACCUGAAUAUCCGUUAUGGAAAAUUCAUCAUUAAAAUUGUAAUAUUUAAAUAAUAUUAUGAGAAUAGUGUGCAUUUUUUCCAUAUAAGGACAUUGUAAUCUAUUAGCAUAUACCAAAUUUAUCAUAAAAUAUAACUUAUAGUUUAUUCCAAUUAAAUUGCUUGCAUUUUAACACAGAAUAAAUGUUAUUAAUUUGAUAAAGUGCUGAUAGAUUUAUAUGAUUACAGUGCGUUAAUUUUUCGGAAUUAUAUAAUGGCAUAAUUAUCAUUGAUUUUUGUGUUUAUUAUAUGCACUUGUAUGAUUAACAAUGCGAAAGAUUCAGGAUACCUUCGGGACCCGUCUUGAAACACGGACCAAGGAGUCUAACAUAUGUGCAAGUUAUUGGGAUAUAAACCUAAUAGCGUAAUUAACUUGACUAAUAAUGGGAUUAGUUUUUUAGCUAUUUAUAGCUAAUUAACACAAUCCCGGGGCGUUCUAUAUAGUUAUGUAUAAUGUAUAUUUAUAUUAUUUAUGCCUCUAACUGGAACGUACCUUGAGCAUAUAUGCUGUGACCCGAAAGAUGGUGAACUAUACUUGAUCAGGUUGAAGUCAGGGGAAACCCUGAUGGAAGACCGAAACAGUUCUGACGUGCAAAUCGAUUGUCAGAAUUGAGUAUAGGGGCGAAAGACCAAUCGAACCAUCUAGUAGCUGGUUCCUUCCGAAGUUUCCCUCAGGAUAGCUGGUGCAUUUUAAUAUUAUAUAAAAUAAUCUUAUCUGGUAAAGCGAAUGAUUAGAGGCCUUAGGGUCGAAACGAUCUUAACCUAUUCUCAAACUUUAAAUGGGUAAGAACCUUAACUUUCUUGAUAUGAAGUUCAAGGUUAUGAUAUAAUGUGCCCAGUGGGCCACUUUUGGUAAGCAGAACUGGCGCUGUGGGAUGAACCAAACGUAAUGUUACGGUGCCCAAAUUAACAACUCAUGCAGAUACCAUGAAAGGCGUUGGUUGCUUAAAACAGCAGGACGGUGAUCAUGGAAGUCGAAAUCCGCUAAGGAGUGUGUAACAACUCACCUGCCGAAGCAACUAGCCCUUAAAAUGGAUGGCGCUUAAGUUGUAUACCUAUACAUUACCGCUAAAGUAGAUGAUUUAUAUUACUUGUGAUAUAAAUUUUGAAACUUUAGUGAGUAGGAAGGUACAAUGGUAUGCGUAGAAGUGUUUGGCGUAAGCCUGCAUGGAGCUGCCAUUGGUACAGAUCUUGGUGGUAGUAGCAAAUAAUCGAAUGAGACCUUGGAGGACUGAAGUGGAGAAGGGUUUCGUGUGAACAGUGGUUGAUCACGAGUUAGUCGGUCCUAAGUUCAAGGCGAAAGCCGAAAAUUUUCAAGUAAAACAAAAAUGCCUAACUAUAUAAACAAAGCGAAUUAUAAUACACUUGAAUAAUUUUGAACGAAAGGGAAUACGGUUCCAAUUCCGUAACCUGUUGAGUAUCCGUUUGUUAUUAAAUAUGGGCCUCGUGCUCAUCCUGGCAACAGGAACGACCAUAAAGAAGCCGUCGAGAGAUAUCGGAAGAGUUUUCUUUUCUGUUUUAUAGCCGUACUACCAUGGAAGUCUUUCGCAGAGAGAUAUGGUAGAUGGGCUAGAAGAGCAUGACAUAUACUGUUGUGUCGAUAUUUUCUCCUCGGACCUUGAAAAUUUAUGGUGGGGACACGCAAACUUCUCAACAGGCCGUAC